Molecule: long non-coding RNA, 476 nt
Filed under: Bos mutus (wild yak)
Lineage: Eukaryota; Metazoa; Chordata; Mammalia; Artiodactyla; Bovidae
Description: lncRNA (ENSBMUG00000002759.1)
Source: RNAcentral
CGUCUGCUCCUCCCCUGAUCGCCGUGGAUCCUCGCGCGCCGGGCGCGUCUGGCCCCCUCCUCCGUUGCGCCCCGCGGGGACAUUCACGAGCGCGCGCACCUCCUCGCACAGAGGAACCCGGGGUUGGGAGGCUCCGAGCGAGCUGCGAUUGGCUGACGUGGAGGCUGCGCGUCUGGCCUGAGAAACUCUGGGCGAGAGCGCAGAGUCUGCUCCCGGGGCUGUGCAGGGCGCAUCUCAGCCUCAAAUCUUGGCGCAAAAACCAGAGACAUUGCCAGAGCAAACAAGAACAGAAGUGCAAAUGGAGGACUGGUCAAAAGGGCUUUCUUCACCAUUUACCAACCACACUGUUACCUUUUUCAGAAGGUUAAAGGCCAUCUGAGGGAACUCUUCUGUCAUCCUUGAACUAAAUCAGUUAAUAGCUACACAUUCUUUUGAGAUACAGAAAGAUGCUGCACUGAGUAUAUCUUUUUUGAUUU